CAGUCGCCGCGGGAACACGUAGGGUGCAAGCGUUAAUCGGAAUUACUGGGCGUAAAGCGUGCGCAGGCGGUUAUAUAAGACAGAUGUGAAAUCCCCGGGCUCAACCUGGGAACUGCAUUUGUGACUGUAUAGCUAGAUUACGGCAGAGGGGGAUGGAAUUCCGCGUGUAGCAGUGAAAUGCGUAGAUAUGCGGAGGAACACCGAUGGCGAAGGCAAUCCCCUGGGCCUGUACUGACGCUCAUGCACGAAAGCGUGGGGAGCAAACAGGAUUAGAUACCCCCGUAGUCCCUGUCUCUUAUAC
RNAcentral lists this ribosomal RNA (301 nucleotides) under uncultured bacterium. Its description in RNAcentral is "partial 16S ribosomal RNA". It matches the Rfam family "Bacterial small subunit ribosomal RNA", at positions 509 to 807 of the family's 1533-position model. The record is from RNAcentral.